Molecule: ribosomal RNA, 510 nt
Filed under: uncultured bacterium
Lineage: Bacteria
Description: bacterial SSU rRNA
Rfam family: Bacterial small subunit ribosomal RNA
Source: RNAcentral
GUAGAGAACAUUAGUUAUCUAUUUUUAUGGGGAGCGGCGGACGGCUGAGUAACGCGUAGGAACGUACCCCAAAGUGAGGGAUAACCACUCGAAAGAGUGACUAAUACCGCAUAUGGUCUUCGGAUUAAAGCAGCAAUGCGCUAUGGGAACGGCCUGCGUCGGAUUAGGUUGUUGGUGAGGUAAUGGCUCACCAAGCCGACGAUCCGUAGCUGGUCUGAGAGGAUGAUCAGCCAGACUGGAACUGAGACACGGUCCAGACUCCUACGGGAGGCAGCAGUUAGGAAUCUUCCACAAUGGGGGCAACCCUGAUGGAGCAACACCGCGUGCUGGAUGAAGGCCUUCGGGUCGUAAACAGCUUUUGUAUACGAAGAAUAUGACGGUAAUAUACGAAUAAGGGUCGGCUAACUACGUGCCAGCAGCCGCGGUCAUACGUAGGACCCAAGCGUUAUCCGGAGUGACUGGGCGUAAAGAGUUGCGUAGGCGGCUUAUUAAGUGGAUAGUGAAAGCUGG